UACGUAGGGUGCGAGCGUUGUCCGGAAUUAUUGGGCGUAAAGGGCGCGUAGGCGGCCUGGCAAGUGGGAGGUGAAAUCCCUCGGCUUAACCGAGGAACUGCCCUCCAAACUGCUUGGCUUGAGUCCGGGAGAGGUGAGUGGAAUUCCCAGUGUAGCGGUGAAAUGCGUAGAUAUUGGGAGGAACACCAGUGGCGAAGGCGGCUCACUGGACCGGAACUGACGCUGAGGCGCGAAAGCGUGGGGAGCAAACGGG
This 253-nucleotide ribosomal RNA is filed under the name uncultured bacterium. Its description in RNAcentral is "partial 16S ribosomal RNA". It matches the Rfam family "Bacterial small subunit ribosomal RNA", at positions 524 to 776 of the family's 1533-position model. The record is from RNAcentral.